UCUUCCACACUGGACGUACGUCUGAUGGAGCAUCGCCGCGUGAGCGAAGAAGGUUCUCGGUUCGUAAAUCUCUGUUACGAGGGAUGAACCAGUACGGUAGUAACUGCUUGUACCUUCACUGUACCUCGUCAGAAAGCCACUGCUAACUACCUUCCCGCUGCCGCGGUAAUACGUAGGUGGCAAGCGUUGUCCGGAAUUAUUGGGCGUAAAGCGCGCGCAGGCGGUCCUUUAAGUCUGAUGUGAAAGCCCACGGCUCAACCGUGGAGGGUCAUUGGAAACUGGAGGACUUGAGUACAGAAGAGGAAAGCGGAAUUCCACGUGUAGCGGUGAAAUGCGUAGAGAUGUGGAGGAACACCAGUGGCGAAGGCGGCUUUCUGGUCUGUAACUGACGCUGAGGCGCGAAAGCGUGGGGAGCAAACA
This 420-nucleotide ribosomal RNA is filed under the name uncultured bacterium. RNAcentral's name for it is "partial 16S ribosomal RNA". It matches the Rfam family "Bacterial small subunit ribosomal RNA", at positions 362 to 774 of the family's 1533-position model. The record is from RNAcentral.